AGGAUGAACGCUGGCGGCGUGCCUAACACAUGCAAGUCGAACGUCCUGUCUCGCAAGAGGCAGGGAGUGGCGGACGGGUGAGUACCACGUGGGUUAUCUACCGUGAGGUGAGGAAUACCGGCGAGAAAUCGCCGACAAGACCGCAUAGCCUCGGUGCAAGCCGAGGAAAGCUUUCUCGAGAGAGGGAGCGCCACACGAGGAGCCUGCGCCCGAUUAGCUAGCUGGUGGAGUAACGGUUCACCAGGGCGACGAUCGGUAGCUGGUCUGAGAGGACGAUCAGCCACACUGGGAUUGAGAACGGCCCAGACUCCUACGGGGGGCAGCAGUGAGGAAUUUUCGUCAAUGGGGGCAACCCUGAACGAGCAACGCCGCGUGCAGGAAGAAGGUUUUCGGAUCGUAAACUGCUUUUCUCGGGGUAAGAGAACGGACGGUACCCAAGGAAUCAGCCCGGCUAACUACGCGCCAGCAGCCGCGGUAA
This 478-nucleotide ribosomal RNA is filed under the name uncultured bacterium. Its description in RNAcentral is "SSU rRNA". It matches the Rfam family "Bacterial small subunit ribosomal RNA", at positions 26 to 523 of the family's 1533-position model. The record is from RNAcentral.